GGAGGAUCCGAGCGUUAUCCGGAUUUAUUGGGUUUAAAGGAAGCGUAGGCCGGAGAUUAAGCGUGUUGUGAAAUGUAGACGCUCAACGUCUGCACUGCAGCGCGAACUGGUUUCCUUGAGUACGCACAAAGUGGGCGGAAUUCGUGGUGUAGCGGUGAAAUGCUUAGAUAUCACGAAGAACUCCGAUUGCGAAGGCAGCUCACUGGAGCGCAACUGACGCUGAAGCUCGAAAGUGCGGGUAUCGAACAGGAUUAGAUACCCUGGUAGUCCGCACGGUAAACGAUGGAUACUCGCUGUUGGCGAUAUACUGUCAGCGGCCAAGCGAAAGCAUUAAGUAUCCCACCUGGGGAGU
This 352-nucleotide ribosomal RNA is filed under the name uncultured bacterium. Its description in RNAcentral is "bacterial SSU rRNA". It matches the Rfam family "Bacterial small subunit ribosomal RNA", at positions 527 to 881 of the family's 1533-position model. The record is from RNAcentral.